Molecule: ribosomal RNA, 505 nt
Filed under: Cervidellus vexilliger
Lineage: Eukaryota; Metazoa; Nematoda; Chromadorea; Rhabditida; Cephalobidae
Description: SSU rRNA
Rfam family: Eukaryotic small subunit ribosomal RNA
Source: RNAcentral
CGCGAACGGCUCAUUAUAACAGCUAUAAUUUACUUGAUCUUGACACAAUCCUACUUGGAUAACUGUGGUAAUUCUAGAGCUAAUACAUGCAUUAAAGCUCUGACCUCACGGGAAGAGUGCAUUUAUUAGAACAAAACCAAGCGGCUUCGGCUGUUUCUGGUUGACUCAUAGUAACUGAGCUGAUCGCAUGGUCUUGCACCGGCGACGUGUCUUUCAAGUAUCUGCCGUAUCAACUUUCGAUGGUAGUGUAUCUGACUACCAUGGUGAUCACGCGUAACGGAGAAUAAGGGUUCGGCUCCGGAGAGUUCGCCUGAGAAAUCGCGAACACAUCUAAGGAAGGCAGCAGGCGCGAAAAUUACCCACUCUCAGCACGAGGAGGUAGUGACGAAAAAUAACGAGACCGUUCUCUUAUGAGGCCGGUCAUCGGAAUGGGUACAAUUUAAACCCUUUAACGAGUAUCUAUGAGAGGGCAAGUCUGGUGCCAGCAGCCGCGGUAAUUCCAGCU